RNAcentral lists this ribosomal RNA (546 nucleotides) under Allocoprococcus comes. Its description in RNAcentral is "bacterial SSU rRNA". It matches the Rfam family "Bacterial small subunit ribosomal RNA", at positions 994 to 1533 of the family's 1533-position model. Lineage: Bacteria; Bacillati; Bacillota; Clostridia; Lachnospirales; Lachnospiraceae. The record is from RNAcentral.
ACCGGCGUGUAAUGACGCCUUUUCUUCGGAACACCGGUGACAGGUGGUGCAUGGUUGUCGUCAGCUCGUGUCGUGAGAUGUUGGGUUAAGUCCCGCAACGAGCGCAACCCUUAUCUUCAGUAGCCAGCAUUUUGGAUGGGCACUCUGGAGAGACUGCCAGGGAUAACCUGGAGGAAGGUGGGGAUGACGUCAAAUCAUCAUGCCCCUUAUGAGCAGGGCUACACACGUGCUACAAUGGCGUAAACAAAGGGAAGCGAGCCUGCGAGGGUAAGCAAAUCUCAAAAAUAACGUCUCAGUUCGGAUUGUAGUCUGCAACUCGACUACAUGAAGCUGGAAUCGCUAGUAAUCGCGAAUCAGCAUGUCGCGGUGAAUACGUUCCCGGGUCUUGUACACACCGCCCGUCACACCAUGGGAGUUGGUAACGCCCGAAGUCAGUGACCCAACCGUAAGGAGGGAGCUGCCGAAGGUGGGACCGAUAACUGGGGUGAAGUCGUAACAAGGUAGCCGUAUCGGAAGGUGCGGCUGGAUCACCUCCUUUCUAAGGAA